Molecule: ribosomal RNA, 427 nt
Filed under: uncultured bacterium
Lineage: Bacteria
Description: bacterial SSU rRNA
Rfam family: Bacterial small subunit ribosomal RNA
Source: RNAcentral
UGGGGAAUAUUCCGCAAUGGACGAAAGUCUGACGGAGCAACGCCGCGUGAGUGAUGAAGGUUUUCGGACUGUAAAGCUCUGUUGUUUAGGACGAAAGUGCCUGUUGCGAACAGUUACAGGUAUUGACGGUACUAAACGAGGAAGCCACGGCUAACUACGUGCCAGCAGCCGCGGUAAUACGCAGGUGGCAAGCGUUGCCCGGAAUUAUUGGGCGUAAAGAGCAUGUAGGCGGAGAUUUAAGUCUGUUGUGAAAAUGCGGGGCUCAACCCCGUAUUGCGAUGGAAACUGAAUUUCUUGAGUGCAGGAGAGGAAAGGGGAAUUCCCAGUGUAGCGGUGAAAUGCGUAGAUAUUGGGAGGAACACCAGUGGCGAAGGCGCCUUUCUGGACUGUGUCUGACGCUGAGAUGCGAAAGCCAGGGUAGCGAACG